This is a long non-coding RNA of Carassius auratus (goldfish), 617 nucleotides long. RefSeq lists it as uncharacterized. Lineage: Eukaryota; Metazoa; Chordata; Actinopteri; Cypriniformes; Cyprinidae. The transcript has 3 exons. The record is from RefSeq and is a predicted model, not a curated record.
AAACUGUAUCACUGAUGCCAGAAUAAAUACAGACUGUGACAUUCCAGCAACUGGACACGAACAUCUACACAAGGAUGAAGACAUUACAUGCAAUGCUUCUGAUGCUGUUUGUUGCAUCAGUCUUUUCAAAAGCGUUUGAUUUGCGCAGAAGAUUUGAUUCAUCGGACUCUGUGCGAUCUAGUUUCAGUUCAGAGGAAAAUGAUUCAAGCAGGGAAGACAGGAAGGAUUCACAGUCCGAUGAGAGUUCUGAAUCCAAUGAGUCUAAAUCAAGUGAAUCUGAAUCUUCGGAAGAAGUUAUCAGAGUUGUGUCAAGCACAACAUCAGCUACCGCAACACAAGACAUCACACACUGUGUUACUGUGGAUCUGACAACUGUAAGAAGGGGUGAUAAUGAUAAUGUCAAUAUAAUACCUUGCAGUAAUACUAUUUAAUCAUCUUUUCUUGCAAAACAAACAAAAGUUGAAUGGUGUACUGUAUUUUACAGUAUAAAGUCAUAUUUAUGUACUGAUAAUGAAGGUCUUGAUACUGAAUGAUGUAACUUGAUGUAAAUGUGAUGUAAAAUUACUUUUAAAUUGCAUGUCCCCAUUAUGGUUUUAAAUGUUCAUUCAGAAUAAAAA